This 229-nucleotide ribosomal RNA is filed under the name uncultured bacterium. RNAcentral's name for it is "partial 16S ribosomal RNA". It matches the Rfam family "Bacterial small subunit ribosomal RNA", at positions 568 to 796 of the family's 1533-position model. The record is from RNAcentral.
UGCGUAGGCGGGCAAAUAAGUCAGUGGUGAAAUCCUGCGGCUCAACCGUAGAACUGCCAUUGAUACUGUUAGACUUGAAUAUAGUUGAGGUAGGCGGAAUGUGUUGUGUAGCGGUGAAAUGCUUAGAUAUAACACAGAACACCGAUUGCGAAGGCAGCUUACUAGACUAUUAUUGACGCUGAGGUACGAAAGCGUGGGGAGCGAACAGGAUUAGAUACCCUGGUAGUCC